GUCUUGCGGUGGUAGGUGUGGUGGACGCUGCCUUGCCGUUCAAGAUGCAUCAGCUGCACUCUUCCUGUUUUGGCCUAGGAACAGAUCUGCCACCAAUGCAGAGACUUGGUGCUACUUCACAAGGAUUUGCAUCCUGCAUUUGGAAGACUUGAAGAAGAAACAUUGCUUGGCAUUGGGAUUUGAAGCUAUGAGCUCGAGCUGUGCAAGGCUGCCCUGGACAGAGGGUGUCUGCCUUCUCAUCUUUCUAAUCUUGAAGACAAGGCCUUCCUAAAUUGAAGGCUUCCAAAGUGUUUCUCAUUGUGAUGGUUGCUACAGUGGAGCUGUGAAGUGGUGCUUAGUUCAGCCAGCAAAAAGUGAAGCUUGUGGGGAGUGUGAGAAACAAGACACAUCUGAGGGAAGGACCAUGCUGCCUCCAGCCUCACUGGGUGAGGAGGCAACUUUGAAGCUGCUGUAUGAAGAACCAAGGAGGGGGAAGAUGGCAGAAUAAUGGGUUACGCUUGCAUGAACAGCAGUAAAAAAGCCAAAGGUGUUUUACCACGCUGAUAAUGCUUGCCUGCUGUUCAUUGGAACCAAUAAAGCUUUGUAAACUCUACCUGUUGUU
Molecule: long non-coding RNA, 601 nt
Organism: Indicator indicator
Lineage: Eukaryota; Metazoa; Chordata; Aves; Piciformes; Indicatoridae
Exons: 12
Source: RefSeq, a predicted model, not a curated record